ACGCUGGCGGCAGGCCUAACACAUGCAAGUCGAGCGGCAGCGGGAAGUAGUUUACUACUUCGCCGGCGAGCGGCGGACGGGUGAGUAAUGUCUGGGGAUCUGCCUGAUGGAGGGGGAUAACUACUGGAAACGGUAGCUAAUACCGCAUGACCUCGCAAGAGCAAAGUGGGGGACCUUCGGGCCUCACGCCAUCGGAUGAACCCAGAUGGGAUUAGCUAGUAGGUGGGGUAAUGGCUCACCUAGGCGACGAUCCCUAGCUGGUCUGAGAGGAUGACCAGCCACACUGGAACUGAGACACGGUCCAGACUCCUACGGGAGGCAGCAGUGGGGAAUAUUGCACAAUGGGCGCAAGCCUGAUGCAGCCAUGCCGCGUGUGUGAAGAAGGCCUUCGGGUUGUAAAGCACUUUCAGCGAGGAGGAAGGCAGUCGUGUUAAUAGCACGAUUGAUUGACGUUACUCGCAGAAGAAGCACCGGCUAACUCCGUGCCAGCAG
Molecule: ribosomal RNA, 492 nt
Filed under: Yersinia bercovieri
Lineage: Bacteria; Pseudomonadati; Pseudomonadota; Gammaproteobacteria; Enterobacterales; Yersiniaceae
Description: bacterial SSU rRNA
Rfam family: Bacterial small subunit ribosomal RNA
Source: RNAcentral